UCCAGCUUACACCUAGAAGAUUUNANUCAAAAUGAACACUUUGA
Molecule: transfer RNA, 44 nt
Filed under: Equus sp.
Lineage: Eukaryota; Metazoa; Chordata; Mammalia; Perissodactyla; Equidae
Description: partial tRNA-Val
Source: RNAcentral